Molecule: ribosomal RNA, 251 nt
Filed under: uncultured bacterium
Lineage: Bacteria
Description: partial 16S ribosomal RNA
Rfam family: Bacterial small subunit ribosomal RNA
Source: RNAcentral
UACGUAGGGGGCAAGCGUUGUCCGGAUUUAUUGGGCGUAAAGAGCGUGUAGGCGGCUAUACAGGUCCGCUGUGAAAACUCGAGGCUCAACCUCGAGACGUCGGUGGAAACCGUAUGGCUAGAGUCCGGAAGAGGAGAGUGAAUUCCUGGUGUAGCGGUGAAAUGCGCAGAUAUCAGGAGGAACACCGAUGGCGAAGGCAGGUCUCUGGGCAUUAACUGACGCUGAGGAGCGAAAGCAUGGGAGCGAACAGG